Molecule: non-coding RNA, 126 nt
Filed under: Plasmodium falciparum 3D7
Lineage: Eukaryota; Apicomplexa; Aconoidasida; Haemosporida; Plasmodiidae
Source: RNAcentral
CCAUAAACGCGACGCCGACCGUCCACGGGAAGGCGGAAGCGGACAUGACUUUCCACCAAUCGGAGGGUGUGAAUUCACGUUUUUGUCGUGGGGGUUGCGGAAGUGAUUUGGGGGGUUUGGGGCCUU